RNAcentral lists this transfer RNA (66 nucleotides) under Allobathynella sp. JHS-2017. Its description in RNAcentral is "tRNA-Leu". Lineage: Eukaryota; Metazoa; Arthropoda; Malacostraca; Bathynellacea; Parabathynellidae. The record is from RNAcentral.
GUUGUUUUAGUAAAUAUUUAUUACAUUAAAUUUAAGCUUUAAAAUAGAUUUAAAGGUCACUCAACA